GAUGAACGCUGGCGGCGUGCCUAAUACAUGCAAGUCGAGCGAACAGACGAGGAGCUUGCUCCUCUGACGUUAGCGGCGCACGGGUGAGUAACACGUGGAUACCCUCCCUAUCAGUCUGGGAUAACUUCGGGAAACCGGAGCUAAUACCGGAUAAUCUAUUGCACCGCAUGGUUCAAUGGAGAAAGACGGCUUUUCUGUCUCUUCUAGAUGGAUCUGCGCCGCAUUAGCUAGUUGGUAGGGUAACGGCUUACCAAGGCAACCAUGCGUAGCCGACCUGAGAGGCGGAUAGGCCACCCUGGAACGGAGACACGGACCAUACUCCUACGGGAGGCAGCAGUAGGGAAUGGUCCGCAGUAGGCGGAAGCCUGACGGAGCAACGCGGCGUGAGUGAUGGAGGUCUUCGGAUCGGAAAGCUCUGUUACUAGGGAAGAACAAAUGUGUAAGGAAAUAUGGACGUCUUGACGGUACCGGAUCAGAAAGCCACGGCUAACUACGUG
This 497-nucleotide ribosomal RNA is filed under the name uncultured bacterium. Its description in RNAcentral is "partial 16S ribosomal RNA". It matches the Rfam family "Bacterial small subunit ribosomal RNA", at positions 28 to 507 of the family's 1533-position model. The record is from RNAcentral.